GAGAAGCUUGCUUCUCUGAUGUUAGCGGCGGACGGGUGAGUAACACGUGGAUAACCUACCUAUAAGACUGGGAUAACUUCGGGAAACCGGAGCUAAUACCGGAUAAUAUUUUGAACCGCAUGGUUCAAAAGUGAAAGACGGUCUUGCUGUCACUUAUAGAUGGAUCCGCGCUGCAUUAGCUAGUUGGUAAGGUAACGGCUUACCAAGGCAACGAUGCAUAGCCGACCUGAGAGGGUGAUCGGCCACACUGGAACUGAGACACGGUCCAGACUCCUACGGGAGGCAGCAGUAGGGAAUCUUCCGCAAUGGGCGAAAGCCUGACGGAGCAACGCCGCGUGAGUGAUGAAGGUCUUCGGAUCGUAAAACUCUGUUAUUAGGGAAGAACAUAUGUGUAAGUAACUGUGCACAUCUUGACGGUACCUAAUCAGAAAGCCACGGCUAACUACGUGCCAGCAGCCGCGGUAAUACGUAGGUGGCAAGCGUUAUCCGGAAUUAUUGGGCGUAAAGCGCGCGUAGGCGGUUUUUUAAGUCUGAUGUGAAAGCCCACGGCUCAACCGUGGAGGGUCAUUGGAAACUGGAAAACUUGAGUGCAGAAGAGGAAAGUGGAAUUCCAUGUGUAGCGGUGAAAUGCGCAGAGAUAUGGAGGAACACCAGUGGCGAAGGCGACUUUCUGGUCUGUAACUGACGCUGAUGUGCGAAAGCGUGGGGAUCAAACAGGAUUAGAUACCCUGGUAGUCCACGCCGUAAACGAU
Molecule: ribosomal RNA, 752 nt
Filed under: uncultured Staphylococcus sp.
Lineage: Bacteria; Bacillati; Bacillota; Bacilli; Caryophanales; Staphylococcaceae
Description: bacterial SSU rRNA
Rfam family: Bacterial small subunit ribosomal RNA
Source: RNAcentral